GGAACUUGGAUUGUGGUGUUCUUACAGGACAAAUAAGAGACAGAUCUAGGUAUUGAACAUCAUUUCUCAGAAAAUAUGAGAGUUUCCAAAGGAAUUGAAGCAUGGUGUUCUGGUAAAACUGAAGAAGACGAAGACAACUAUCCCAUCUUGGCAGUGGAACUGAUAUCUACAAGAUGCUUGUGAAGUACCUACAAUAUCACUCUUAGUCAUCAUUACUCAAUGCUUUUUUCAAUAUUGCAUCUGGUAGCAGAAGUAAAGAGUUUACAUCUUUUGAUGUCUUCCACAUCUCCAAGAUAAUACAACAAACUUGAAUCCAAAAGUUUCUGACGGCAAACGAGAAUUUUUGGAUAUCUUAUUAUUCCAAGUACUUUCAGCAUUCUAUAGAGAAAUCUUCAUCCGUUUCUUGUCGGCCAUUUUAACAGUAUGUUGUACGAAUUUAUCGAAUAUUGAGGAACUAAUAGCUCCCUCCUAAAUUGCACUGAAAAUUUAUGUACUCUGUAACUUGAAACCGGAAAA
This is a long non-coding RNA of Papaver somniferum (opium poppy), 516 nucleotides long. RefSeq lists it as uncharacterized. The record is from RefSeq and is a predicted model, not a curated record. The transcript has 4 exons. NCBI's taxonomy places the organism in Eukaryota, Viridiplantae, Streptophyta, Magnoliopsida, Ranunculales, Papaveraceae.